CGCGGUCCUCGGUAGUGAUCCCCGGGAGCAACCUUCUGCGAUGAAGGCACAGCCCGUGGGUCUCGAUCGAUGACCGGG
This is a non-coding RNA of Arthrobacter sp. Hiyo1, 78 nucleotides long. NCBI's taxonomy places the organism in Bacteria, Bacillati, Actinomycetota, Actinomycetes, Micrococcales, Micrococcaceae. The record is from Rfam.